GUCGAACGCUGGCGGCGUGCCUAAUACAUGCAAGUAGAACGCAGUUGCGAACGGGUGAGUAACGCGUCGGUAACUGCCUGGUAGCGGGGGAUAACUAUUGGAAACGAUAGCUAAUACCGCAUACUACCAGAUGGACCUGCGUUGUAUUAGGUAGUUGGUGAGGUAACGGCGCAACAAGGCAACGAUACAUAGCCGACCUGGGGGGGGGGUCGGCCACAAGGGGACUUAGACACGGCCCAGAAUCCUACGGGAGGCAGCAGUAGGGAAUCUUCGGCAAUGGGGGGAAACCUGACCGAGCAACGCCGGGUGAGUGAAGAAGGUUUUCGGAUCGGAAAGCUCUGUUGUUAAGGAAGCGGUACUUAACCAGAAAGGGACGGCUAACUACGUGCCAGCAGCCGCGGUAAUUC
Molecule: ribosomal RNA, 407 nt
Filed under: uncultured bacterium
Lineage: Bacteria
Description: partial 16S ribosomal RNA
Rfam family: Bacterial small subunit ribosomal RNA
Source: RNAcentral